This 136-nucleotide microRNA precursor is filed under the name Mustela putorius furo (domestic ferret). RNAcentral describes it as "miRNA (ENSMPUG00000021861.1)". The record is from RNAcentral. Lineage: Eukaryota; Metazoa; Chordata; Mammalia; Carnivora; Mustelidae.
GACUCUCAGUUAAAUUUGAAUUUCAUGUGAACAUUGAAAAAUGUUUUAUUGUAAGUAUGACUUCAUGCCAUAUUUGGGAUAUACUUAUACUAAAAAGUUAUGUGGUUCAUCUGAAAUUCACAUAUAACUGGCUGUC